AAAGCAUUCUGAGGUUCAUACCACAGCUAUACACCACCCCACUGAGAGUAAAGACCUUUUUCUCUACUUAGGGGUCACACAGAGCCCCUCCUCCACAAAGCUGUCACACAGAUCACAUAUAUGUCACAUAGAGUCCCUCCUCCACUCAGGUGUCACACAAGCCCCUCCUCCACUCAGGUGUCACAUAGAACCCGUGCUCCACUCAGGUAUUACAUAGAACCUGUCCUCCACUCAGGUGUCAUAUAGAGUCCCUCCUCCACUCAGGUGUCACACAGAUCACAUAGAUGUCACAUAGAGCCCCUCACCCACUUAGGUAUCAUGUAGAACCCAGCCUCCACUCAGGUGUCACGUAGAACCUGUCCUCCACUUAGGUGUCAUAUAUAACCCCUCCUCCACAUAAGUGUCACACAAGCCCCUCCUCCACUCAGGUGUCACACAAGCCCCUCCUCCACUCAGGUGAACCAUAGAACCUUCCUCCACUCAGGUAUCACUAAGAACCCCUCCUCUGAUCAGAGUCACAGAGACCGCGCUCCACUUGGAUGUCAUAUAGAGUCCCUCCUCCACGCAAGUAUCCCCUUCUUCCUUCAGGUGUCACAUUUAGACCCUCCUCCACUCAAGUGUCAUACCGAUCCUCUCUUCCUUUCACACAGAGACCCUCCUCCACGCAGGUGUCACAGGGGCCCCUUCUUCUCAUCUUGUGUCCCAUAGCUCCCCUCUCCACUCAGGAGUCACACAGAGUCCCUCCUGAACUCAGGAGUCACCCUGAGCCUCUUCUCUGCUCAUGUGUCCCGUGGAGUCCUCCUUCUCUCGUGUGUUACCCUGAGUCCUGCUCACAUGUUGCAGUUGAGUCCAUUCUUCUCUCAGUUAUAAUGCAGAGCCCCUCCCUGACCUAUCGGUCACUUUCUGUCCCUGUUCCACCCGCAUGUUUCACGGAGCCUUCUCACUGUGGUCUCCCACUGGCCCUCUCCCAUCUUGAGCCACACACAGAGCUCCUCUGCCCCUGUGUGUGGUCGUGAGCCCACUCCCCAGCCAUAUGUCACUGGGGACUGUCUACUCAUGUGUCACACCUUCCCUCCCCCCGUGUACGCGUCACACUGAGCUCCGCCCGCACUUGGCUGUCCUCCAUGCACUUUCC
Long non-coding RNA from Bos taurus (domestic cattle), 1135 nucleotides. Lineage: Eukaryota; Metazoa; Chordata; Mammalia; Artiodactyla; Bovidae. The record is from Ensembl.